UUUUCACUGUUGCUCCACCGACCAUGCCAUCGGUUCUUUCUCCUUCUCGUCUUUCUCCCUUUCGUCGUAUUCCCUACUCCGGCAGUUGCGCCACCCGGUUGCUUGACCAGUGGAGCGAUCUACUUAGGCAAAACGGUUUGUUUAACUAAAGGUGUCUAAGAAGAUGAAGAGGUGCUCCAGCGAAUUCCAUGAAGAAGCGAUAAACAAUGGUGCGGUGUGAAAGCGGUAUAGUUGUGCACUAGGAUUUGUGCAUUUUGUGAAAGCGGUAUAGCUGUGCACUAGGAUUUGUGCGUUUUGUGUAAUCAAGUGAUGAAAAUUGUUCAUCAUUUGUUCUUUCUCUUCAUAGAUCUGGUAUUGGUUUUGUUUCUGGUGCAAGUUGAAGCCGAUUUCUUGGUUUUGUGUUAUGCAGUAAUCUUGUCUACAUGGAAGUGUCGUAAUUCUCGAUAUUUUAAUCGAAGCGAUAGCCACCAGAGUCCAUGACUA
This is a long non-coding RNA of Lactuca sativa (garden lettuce), 483 nucleotides long. RefSeq lists it as uncharacterized. The record is from RefSeq and is a predicted model, not a curated record. NCBI's taxonomy places the organism in Eukaryota, Viridiplantae, Streptophyta, Magnoliopsida, Asterales, Asteraceae.